This 1160-nucleotide long non-coding RNA is filed under the name Homo sapiens (human). Its description in RNAcentral is "HSALNT0339567". The record is from RNAcentral. Lineage: Eukaryota; Metazoa; Chordata; Mammalia; Primates; Hominidae.
AGUGCGCACUCCUCCCAGUGCACUGGCCGGUUGGAGUUUUGCCAGGGAGGCCUUCCCACCUGCCUGUCUCAAUGGAAAGAAUAUGUGGAUUUGGAUUCAGGGACACCUUUAUCACCUAUGUGACUUUAGCUGCUGCUCAGGGGGAAGUCACAAUAUGUAAGCCAGACUGCUGGCUUCACACAUCCUCCAUUAAGAUUCUCAGUGGUGAAGGCUAAUAUAUCUGACCACACUGGCUCUGCAAGACCAUGGCUGAAGACUGCUUAAAUGUUGUCCCUGAGUCAAUAUCUUAACAUUUAUUGCAUCUUUUAUUUUCUUAACAAAAAUGAAGGCAUUUGUGACUGUGUUGUUUUCCAUCAAAAAUUGGGAAUCAUGCCCUUUCAUACAACACAGUUGUGGUAAGUAGAAGCUUCUGGGGUAGUAGAAAGAUCAAGAUCAUCAGAGAACGUAGGGUGCAAUAUCAGCUCUCCAGUACCAAACACGGUUCAUUAACCUCUCGGAACCUCAGGUGUCUUGGGGCAUAGUUCAUGUCUCCUGGCCCAUCUCACAGGAUUAUCAGGAGGACGAAUGAGAUAAUUCUCAGGCUAAAGAAAAUAUCACCUAAUGCUUCUGAUAUACAGAAUUGUGUGCUGCAAAUGGUUGAAAAGAUUUUAGUUUCAACACCUAAUUCCCAUCAUUCUGUGGCAAAAUAUAUCUUGAGUUCUGAUGGGCGCCAGAACAACAUCUGAAGAUUGAAUGAAACUUCUAAAGGUGAGUGAUAACAAGGCCCGUCCUGUACUUCACAGAAGACUUCUGAGGGUCAAAGAGAAGAUUUAUAGUUCUGGAGGUCAGAAGUCCAAGCUGAGUUUCACUGGCCCAAAUUCAAGAGUACCAGGCCAGAUUUCCAAAUGGGACAACAGGUGGAACUCUCAUUUUGCUCAUGUUCAGGCUGGAGUGCAGUGACACGAUCAUGGCUCGCUGCAGCCUUGACCUCCUGGGCUCAAGCUAUCCUCCCAUGUCAGCCUUCUGAUUAGCUGGGACUAUAGGCAUGCACCAUCACACUCAGGCUGGAGUGCAAUGGCUCAAUCACAGCUCACUGUUACCUCAAAUUCCUGAUCUCAAGGGAUCCUCCUGCCUCAGCCUCCUAAGUGACUGGAACUACAGGUGCAUACCAUUAUCCCAGC